This 1352-nucleotide long non-coding RNA is filed under the name Zea mays. RNAcentral describes it as "long non-coding RNA (ZMAY_LNC002663)". Lineage: Eukaryota; Viridiplantae; Streptophyta; Magnoliopsida; Poales; Poaceae. The record is from RNAcentral.
ACUAGACGGUGUUGCAGCCUUAUGCACCAACUUCCAAGCUCAUUUAAAGACCCCUCCAAAUAGUCCAUAUUAUUAUACUGAUUCUUCAAUAUGACAUCCCCGAUGCAUAUGAUACAUCCAAGGAAUAGGGAAACUUUUGAACCAUCAAGAAUAAAUCAUUUUACUAGGGAACAUUUAAAAGAAUUGACGGUUGAGGAUCAUUUCACAAAAGGAUGUUUUGCAGAACCCUAUGGAUGAACAUAGGUUAAACAAAAGACUAACAUGUCACAAACAAUUACAAAAAUAUGUAUCCUGGUAAACUGCAAUAAUUUUAAAGGGUGAAUAGUCAGUCAUAUAAGUAUCAAUCAUCAGAAAAAAUCAUGAAGUAACAUGUUACUCAGAUUAAACGUCAUAUGGAUCAUGAUAAAAAGACACACAAAAUAUGCAUUAAAUCACUAGAAAAACAAUAAUACCUUUCAUAACUCAUUUGGUUGUUUAUUAUUUCCGUCCGCAUUAAAUCACUAGAAAAACAAUAAUACCUUUCAUAACUCAUUUGGUUGUUUAUUAUUUCCGUCUCAAUAUUCACCCACUCUACUGACCAUAUAUCCCUCUCCCUCAGUAAAUAUUUGAACUUUUUUUAUUUAGUUCUUGAGUUCUCAUGUGUUCUCUGUUUUUUUAUGUUUGCUAAUUAGAAUGCGCUCAAAAGGAAGGUUUAAUUUAUUCAGAUGCGAGGUAAACUGUUACCAUGUAAAUGACAAGUGGUUAUAACUUUGAACAAUCCCAGUCUAACCUUAUUUGUCCUGUUAUCCCACCAGUCAAGAGGAUUAGCAAAGAACACUUGCAAUUACCUUGCAAUUUUAGAUUCUGUUGGGAGUACCACAAAACGGAAUAUAUAAAGUUAAGUUCAUUACCUUGCAAUUUAGUUUCUGUUGGGAGUACCACCGAACUAGCAAGUCAAUGGAAGAAUUAGCUCUCCCUUUGAUUCCUAUCCUAGCCAAAACUUUUGCAGAGUUAUGGAUACAGGAAACACUUGCAUAGAAGCUUGCAAGCCAACUUACCUUGAUUCUCAUUCUCACCGCAUUUGUUUUCUCUACUGCUGUCCCUUGUACUAUUUGCAGUUGUAGCUAGGGCCAUUACAUACUACUAACACGAAUUUUUGCAUGUACAGGGCUACAGGCAGUGGAUGCAAGUGAUAUGUGCCAGUCUAAGAACUUGCAUAAGCUAUAUUUAGCUAGUUUAAGUUCAGAGUAAUUAACCAAGCAUGGAAUUAGGAGUCUACUGCUAGUUAAUAAAUAAUUAAAAGCACAUAUCAAAUACAAAUCAAACAUAAGCAGUCAAGAGGUUAGCUGUCCAGACAACUCUACUGAUUUUUU